GAUUAAGUUAUUAAGGGCGCACGGUGGAUGCCUUGGCACUAGAAGCCGAUGAAGGACGUUACUAACGACGAUAUGCUUUGGGAAGCUGUAAGUAAGCUUUGAUCCAGAGAUUUCCGAAUGGGGAAACCCAGCAUGAGUUAUGUCAUGUUAUCGAUAUGUGAAUACAUAGCAUAUCAGAAGGCACACCCGGAGAACUGAAACAUCUUAGUAACCGGAGGAAGAGAAAGAAAAUUCGAUUCCCUUAGUAGCGGCGAGCGAAACGGGAAGAGCCCAAACCAACAAGCUUGCUUGUUGGGGUUGUAGGACACUCUAUACGGAGUUACAAAGGACGACAUUAGACGAAUCAUCUGGAAAGAUGAAUCAAAGAAGGUAAUAAUCCUGUAGUCGAAAAUGUUGUCUCUCUUGAGUGGAUCCUGAGUACGACGGAGCACGUGAAAUUCCGUCGGAAUCUGGGAGGACCAUCUCCUAAGGCUAAAUACUCUCUAGUGACCGAUAGUGAACCAGUACCGUGAGGGAAAGGUGAAAAGCACCCCGGAAGGGGAGUGAAAUAGAACCUGAAACCGUGUGCUUACAAGUAGUCAGAGCCCGUUAAUGGGUGAUGGCGUGCCUUUUGUAGAAUGAACCGGCGAGUUACGAUUUGAUGCAAGGUUAAGCAGUAAAUGUGGAGCCGUAGCGAAAGCGAGUCUGAAUAGGGCGUUUAGUAUUUGGUCGUAGACCCGAAACCAGGUGAUCUACCCUUGGUCAGGUUGAAGUUCAGGUAACACUGAAUGGAGGACCGAACCGACUUACGUUGAAAAGUGAGCGGAUGAACUGAGGGUAGCGGAGAAAUUCCAAUCGAACCUGGAGAUAGCUGGUUCUCUCCGAAAUAGCUUUAGGGCUAGCCUCAAGUGAUGAUUAUUGGAGGUAGAGCACUGUUUGGACGAGGGGCCCCUCUCGGGUUACCGAAUUCAGACAAACUCCGAAUGCCAAUUAAUUUAACUUGGGAGUCAGAACAUGGGUGAUAAGGUCCGUGUUCGAAAGGGAAACAGCCCAGACCACCAGCUAAGGUCCCAAAAUAUAUGUUAAGUGGAAAAGGAUGUGGCGUUGCCCAGACAACUAGGAUGUUGGCUUAGAAGCAGCCAUCAUUUAAAGAGUGCGUAAUAGCUCACUAGUCGAGUGACACUGCGCCGAAAAUGUACCGGGGCUAAACAUAUUACCGAAGCUGUGGAUUGUCCUUUGGACAAUGGUAGGAGAGCGUUCUAAGGGCGUUGAAGCAUGAUCGUAAGGACAUGUGGAGCGCUUAGAAGUGAGAAUGCCGGUGUGAGUAGCGAAAGACGGGUGAGAAUCCCGUCCACCGAUUGACUAAGGUUUCCAGAGGAAGGCUCGUCCGCUCUGGGUUAGUCGGGUCCUAAGCUGAGGCCGACAGGCGUAGGCGAUGGAUAACAGGUUGAUAUUCCUGUACCACCUAUAAUCGUUUUAAUCGAUGGGGGGACGCAGUAGGAUAGGCGAAGCGUGCGAUUGGAUUGCACGUCUAAGCAGUAAGGCUGAGUAUUAGGCAAAUCCGGUACUCGUUAAGGCUGAGCUGUGAUGGGGAGAAGACAUUGUGUCUUCGAGUCGUUGAUUUCACACUGCCGAGAAAAGCCUCUAGAUAGAAAAUAGGUGCCCGUACCGCAAACCGACACAGGUAGUCAAGAUGAGAAUUCUAAGGUGAGCGAGCGAACUCUCGUUAAGGAACUCGGCAAAAUGACCCCGUAACUUCGGGAGAAGGGGUGCUCUUUAGGGUUAACGCCCAGAAGAGCCGCAGUGAAUAGGCCCAAGCGACUGUUUAUCAAAAACACAGGUCUCUGCUAAACCGUAAGGUGAUGUAUAGGGGCUGACGCCUGCCCGGUGCUGGAAGGUUAAGAGGAGUGGUUAGCUUCUGCGAAGCUACGAAUCGAAGCCCCAGUAAACGGCGGCCGUAACUAUAACGGUCCUAAGGUAGCGAAAUUCCUUGUCGGGUAAGUUCCGACCCGCACGAAAGGCGUAACGAUUUGGGCACUGUCUCAACGAGAGACUCGGUGAAAUCAUAGUACCUGUGAAGAUGCAGGUUACCCGCGACAGGACGGAAAGACCCCGUGGAGCUUUACUGUAGCCUGAUAUUGAAAUUCGGCACAGCUUGUACAGGAUAGGUAGGAGCCUUUGAAACGUGAGCGCUAGCUUACGUGGAGGCGCUGGUGGGAUACUACCCUAGCUGUGUUGGCUUUCUAACCCGCACCACUUAUCGUGGUGGGAGACAGUGUCAGGCGGGCAGUUUGACUGGGGCGGUCGCCUCCUAAAAGGUAACGGAGGCGCUCAAAGGUUCCCUCAGAAUGGUUGGAAAUCAUUCAUAGAGUGUAAAGGCAUAAGGGAGCUUGACUGCGAGACCUACAAGUCGAGCAGGGUCGAAAGACGGACUUAGUGAUCCGGUGGUUCCGCAUGGAAGGGCCAUCGCUCAACGGAUAAAAGCUACCCCGGGGAUAACAGGCUUAUCUCCCCCAAGAGUUCACAUCGACGGGGAGGUUUGGCACCUCGAUGUCGGCUCAUCGCAUCCUGGGGCUGUAGUCGGUCCCAAGGGUUGGGCUGUUCGCCCAUUAAAGCGGUACGCGAGCUGGGUUCAGAACGUCGUGAGACAGUUCGGUCCCUAUCCGUCGUGGGCGUAGGAAAUUUGAGAGGAGCUGUCCUUAGUACGAGAGGACCGGGAUGGACAUACCUCUGGUGUACCAGUUGUCGUGCCAACGGCAUAGCUGGGUAGCUAUGUGUGGACGGGAUAAGUGCUGAAAGCAUCUAAGCAUGAAGCCCCCCUCAAGAUGAGAUUUCCCAACUUCGGCUAUAAGAUCCCUCAAAGAUGAUGAGGUUAAUAGGUUCGAGGUGGAAGCAUGGUGACAUGUGGAGCUGACGAAUACUAAUCGAUCGAAGACUUAAUCAA
This 2923-nucleotide ribosomal RNA is filed under the name Staphylococcus aureus RF122. RNAcentral describes it as "bacterial LSU rRNA". It matches the Rfam family "Bacterial large subunit ribosomal RNA". Lineage: Bacteria; Bacillati; Bacillota; Bacilli; Caryophanales; Staphylococcaceae. The record is from RNAcentral.